AGCGAACGCUGGCGGCAGGCUUAACACAUGCAAGUCGAGCGGGCACUUCGGUGUCAGCGGCAGACGGGUGAGUAACACGUGGGAACGUACCCUUCGGUUCGGAAUAACGCUGGGAAACUAGCGCUAAUACCGGAUACGCCCUUUUGGGGAAAGGUUUACUGCCGAAGGAUCGGCCCGCGUCUGAUUAGCUAGUUGGUGGGUAAUGGCCUACCAAGGCGACGAUCAGUAGCUGGUCUGAGAGGAUGAUCAGCCACACUGGGACUGAGACACGGCCCAGACUCCUACGGGAGGCAGCAGUGGGGAAUAUUGGACAAUGGGCGCAAGCCUGAUCCAGCCAUGCCGCGUGAGUGAUGAAGGCCUUAGGGUUGUAAAGCUCUUUUGUCCGGGACGAUAAUGACGGUACCGGAAGAAUAAGCCCCGGCUAACUUCGUG
This 432-nucleotide ribosomal RNA is filed under the name uncultured bacterium. RNAcentral describes it as "partial 16S ribosomal RNA". It matches the Rfam family "Bacterial small subunit ribosomal RNA", at positions 29 to 507 of the family's 1533-position model. The record is from RNAcentral.